Molecule: ribosomal RNA, 235 nt
Filed under: uncultured bacterium
Lineage: Bacteria
Description: partial 16S ribosomal RNA
Rfam family: Bacterial small subunit ribosomal RNA
Source: RNAcentral
GAUCAUGGCUCAGGAUGAACGCUAGCUACAGGCUUAACACAUGCAAGUCGAGGGGCAGCAUGAACUUAGCUUGCUAAGUUUGAUGGCGACCGGCGCACGGGUGAGUAACACGUAUCCAACCUGCCGAUGACCCUCGGGGAUAGCCUUUCGAAAGAAAGAUUAAUACCCGAUGGCAUAGUUCUUCCGCAUGGUAGAACUAUUAAAGAAUUUCGGUCAUCGAUGGGGAUGCGUUCCA